CGGGGUGAGUAAUGUCUGGGAAACUGCCUGAUGGAGGGGGAUAACUACUGGAAACGGUAGCUAAUACCGCAUAACGUCGCAAGACCAAAGAGGGGGACCUUCGGGCCUCUUGCCAUCGGAUGUGCCCAGAUGGGAUUAGCUAGUAGGUGGGGUAAUGGCUCACCUAGGCGACGAUCCCUAGCUGGUCUGAGAGGAUGACCAGCCACACUGGAACUGAGACACGGUCCAG
Molecule: ribosomal RNA, 229 nt
Filed under: uncultured bacterium
Lineage: Bacteria
Description: partial 16S ribosomal RNA
Rfam family: Bacterial small subunit ribosomal RNA
Source: RNAcentral